Molecule: ribosomal RNA, 253 nt
Filed under: uncultured bacterium
Lineage: Bacteria
Description: partial 16S ribosomal RNA
Rfam family: Bacterial small subunit ribosomal RNA
Source: RNAcentral
UACGUAGGGGGCAAGCGUUGUCCGGAAUCAUUGGGCGUAAAGCGCGUGUAGGCGGCUCGAUAAGUCUGCUGUGAAAGUCCAAGGCUCAACCUUGGGAUGCCGGUGGAUACUGUCGAGCUCGAGUCCGGAAGAGGCGAGUGGAAUUCCUGGUGUAGCGGUGAAAUGCGCAGAUAUCAGGAGGAACACCAAUGGCGAAGGCAGCUCGCUGGGACGUGACUGACGCUGAGACGCGAAAGCGUGGGGAGCAAACCGG